Oxyura jamaicensis (ruddy duck) is the source of this 343-nucleotide long non-coding RNA. RefSeq lists it as uncharacterized. NCBI's taxonomy places the organism in Eukaryota, Metazoa, Chordata, Aves, Anseriformes, Anatidae. The transcript has 2 exons. The record is from RefSeq and is a predicted model, not a curated record.
AAUCUCCAAACCCAACAGUCUGACUGCAAGCUUAGUCAUACAUCCUCAUCUCAGGAUUCAUCUGGCUUCAUCAGUUGCCUGUGGCACCUCCAGGCUCCACAGAUGAACCUCGCCCUUCAGGCUUCACUGUGCUGAACCCUGACCCAUAGCACAAAACCACAAGCCCUAAUCAGGCCAGAACAUACCUGAGGUGGGUAUAAUCUGAAGGAAGUACCCUUCUGUGGUCUAUUAGAGAAGAUAGAUGGAGUAGAAAAGAUGAUGGAGUAGAGAAAGCAGACGCAGUACUGGUUGGGAAAAAAAAAAUCAAGAAAGCUUUGCUUGACUAAAUUUUAAAGUCAUGAUU